GUCCACGCCGUAAACGAUGUGUGCUAGUUGUCGGGACUCUGGUCUCGGUGACGGAGCGAAAGUAUUAAGCACACCGCCUGGGGAGUACGGCCGCAAGGUUAAAACUCAAAGGAAUUGACGGGGACCCGCACAAGCGGUGGAGCAUGUUGUUUAAUUCGAAGCAACGCGAAGAACCUUACCCACACUUGACAUCCUCCUUGGGACUUACAGAGAUGUUUGUCUUCGGUUCGGCCGGGGGAGUGACAGGUGCUGCAUGGCU
This 259-nucleotide ribosomal RNA is filed under the name uncultured bacterium. RNAcentral describes it as "partial 16S ribosomal RNA". It matches the Rfam family "Bacterial small subunit ribosomal RNA", at positions 793 to 1050 of the family's 1533-position model. The record is from RNAcentral.